Molecule: long non-coding RNA, 1099 nt
Organism: Oreochromis niloticus (Nile tilapia)
Lineage: Eukaryota; Metazoa; Chordata; Actinopteri; Cichliformes; Cichlidae
Exons: 2
Source: RefSeq, a predicted model, not a curated record
UCCUGUUUUUUCUUCUGUUAGUCGGUUGGAGCCGAGGGCACAUUCAGGAAACAAUAACAACAACAAUAAUGAGUCAGACAGAGGAGUGUUCGUCAGGUCAUGAGAUGUUAAAGUUUUGUUCACAGCCCCCUACAGUUAUAAUAAUGGAUCAGUCCUUUGAGACAGUUUCCUCUCCAGUAUUGUCAGGUGUCAGGAAACUGGGACACCCUGUGGACGGCAAGUAAACUGCAUCGAUCGAAACGUCACGAGACAAACAGCCGCUACAGCUCUAAGAAGAAUAGAUUAUACAAUAACCAGAACCAGCAAAGGUGCUCUAAUGGCUUAAAUUAUUAUUUUUAUGGCUGUUUAUUUCUAACAUGGCAGAUGCGGAGCUGCGGGUUUUAAACUUUGAAGUAAUCGUUAGUAUGUUCAGGUCUCUCCUCCACAGUCUGGUGGAGAAAUCCUUUUAAGCCAUCAAUGGACAGUUACGUUUUCCAAGCGGGUCACGUGGGAAACCGUGACUGUUGUGGAGCUAAACUCAGUUCUGCUCAAUGGUACUUUUAUCUCUUUAUAAACUGACGCUGGUGUUACAAUCAGUCUGUGAAAACAGGAAACGGGUGCAGUAAAAAAAAACCAACAUGUUAAGAUUAUUUAAGCUAAACUGCCAGAAAAGUGAGCCCUGCCACAGGCUGGCGACUAUUCCAGGUGUACCUCACCUCUCACCCUAUGGUAGCUGUGAUUGGCUCCAGCCCCCCGCCCAAUCCCACGACCUGGAAUUAGAUAAGUGAAAGAGAAUGGGUGGAUGUAUGCCAGGAAAAAAACCAAAAACGAUAUGUGCUGUUGUUACUGUGUUUGUAGUUUGAAGACUUCAUCUGCAGUUUGCAGUUCUCUCACUGAAGAAAAAGAACUGAUCAUCUGUUUACGGCUUCAUAUGCAUGUUACUUGAGAGUUGUCUGCCAUAUUAAAUGUGAUACAACCAAAAAUCACUUGUGGAAAACCCACUCUACUGUGGCAACCAUGUCCAGUGUCUAUGAUCAAGAUCAGCGGUCCCCGUUUACAGGAAAACUGAAACUUUUUAAAACUCUGACUUUAAAUUUAACGUACUUGUUACUUUUAAAAA